GGGUUGUGAGGUUAAGCGAAUAAGCGUACACGGUGGAUGCCUAGGCAGUCAGAGGCGAUGAAGGACGUGCUAAUCUGCGAAAAGCGUCGGUAAGCUGAUAUGAAGCGUAAUAGCCGGCGAUGUCCGAAUGGGGAAACCCAGUGCAAUGCGUUGCACUAUCAUUAACUGAAUUCAUAGGUUAAUGAGGCGAACCGGGGGAACUGAAACAUCUCAGUACCCCGAGGAAAAGAAAUCAACCGAGAUUCCCCCAGUAGCGGCGAGCGAACGGGGAGGAGCCCAGAACCUGCAUCAGCGAUAGCAUCAGAGGAACGGUCUGGAAAGGCCGGCGAGAGAGGGUGACAGCCCCGUACUCGAAGAUGGUAUGGCUGUGAGUUCGAUGAGUAAGGCGGGACACGAGAAAUCCUGUCUGAAGAUGGGGGGACCAUCCUCCAAGGCUAAAUACUCCUGACUGACCGAUAGUGAACCAGUACCGUGAGGGAAAGGCGAAAAGAACCCCGGCGAGGGGAGUGAAAGAGAACCUGAAACCGUGUACGUACAAGCAGUGGGAGCCCCACCACCAAAGCGUUUCACUUUGCGUGGUGCACAAAAUGCGUAACAGCAGCACUGAUGACGGUUGGCGGAGCGGCAGCGACGCCCAACACACCAAUCAAGCAGUGGAGCGUUUUGGGGUGGGGUGACUGCGUACCUUUUGUAUAAUGGGUCAGCGACUUAUAUUCUGUAGCAAGGUUAACCGGAUAGGGGAGCCGCAGGGAAACCGAGUCUUAACUGGGCGAAAGAGUUGCAGGGUAUAGACCCGAA
This 798-nucleotide ribosomal RNA is filed under the name Photorhabdus sp. S15-56. Its description in RNAcentral is "bacterial LSU rRNA". It matches the Rfam family "Bacterial large subunit ribosomal RNA", at positions 1 to 719 of the family's 2925-position model. The record is from RNAcentral. Lineage: Bacteria; Pseudomonadati; Pseudomonadota; Gammaproteobacteria; Enterobacterales; Morganellaceae.